CAGCUGAGCGCGUCUGCCGGAUCCGCUCCAGAGGAGAGCGGCAGGUAGGAGGGCGGAGCGAAGCGCCAAAGUUAAAGACGGACAGAGAGCAGCGAGAGCGCAACGGUGUUUAUUCCAAGGGCCGACUGUCUCCGCUGCUUGGCUGUGAAGGAGACGAACAAGGAUGAGGACAUCUACCGAAUCGGAUGGUACCACAAUCCAGGGAUCUAUCUGGCAUAUAUUUAAUGUCUGGAUAGCCCCAGUACAUCCUUGAACAAAUCCAUCACAAAUGACCAUCAGUAGGUGGAAACAAACAGGUAAAUACAGUAAAAUCGCUACAGUGAAGGCGCUCGGCUCUAUGAAGUGGGAAACGUGGCAGGCGUGUUUUACCAGCUGUCUAGGAUUAUCUAUGCAUAUUUGUGGGAGAGAUUUAAUGGAAACAAAGGGUUUGUGGUGGAAUGAUAAGUGUGAAGGCUUAUCCUGCUCCAUCAAUCAAUCAGCGACACACACACACACACACACACACACACACACACACACACACACACACACACACACACACACACACACACACACACACAAUAUCAAGACAUC
This is a long non-coding RNA of Nothobranchius furzeri (turquoise killifish), 573 nucleotides long. RefSeq lists it as uncharacterized. NCBI's taxonomy places the organism in Eukaryota, Metazoa, Chordata, Actinopteri, Cyprinodontiformes, Nothobranchiidae. The record is from RefSeq and is a predicted model, not a curated record.